GAUGAACGCUAGCGGCAGGCCUAAUACAUGCAAGUCGGACGGGAUCUAUCGGAGAGCUUGCUCGAAGAUAGUGAGAGUGGCGCACGGGUGCGUAACGCGUGAGCAACCUACCCAUAUCAGGGGGAUAGCCCGGAGAAAUCCGGAUUAAGACCGCAUAAUACAUCACCUUCGCAUGGAGGCGUUGUUAAAUAUUUAUAGGAUAUGGAUGGGCUCGCGUGACAUUAGCUAGUUGGUGAGGUAACGGCUCACCAAGGCGACGAUGUCUAGGGGCUCUGAGAGGAGAAUCCCCCACACUGGUACUGAGACACGGACCAGACUCCUACGGGAGGCAGCAGUAAGGAAUAUUGGUCAAUGGGCGGAAGCCUGAACCAGCCAUGCCGCGUGCAGGACGACUGCCCUAUGGGUUGUAAACUGCUUUUGUCGAGGAAUAAACCUAUCUACGUGUAGAUAGCUGAACGUACUCGAAGAAUAAGGAUCGGCUAACUCCGUGCCAGCAGCCGCCGUAA
This 506-nucleotide ribosomal RNA is filed under the name uncultured bacterium. Its description in RNAcentral is "partial 16S ribosomal RNA". It matches the Rfam family "Bacterial small subunit ribosomal RNA", at positions 28 to 523 of the family's 1533-position model. The record is from RNAcentral.